UACGGAAGGUGCGAGCGUUAUCCGGAUUUAUUGGGUUUAAAGGGAGCGUAGGCGGAGCGCCAAGUCAGCUGUGAAAUCCUGCGGCUCAACCGUGGGCCUGCAGUUGAAACUGGCGUUCUUGAGUGCACAUGAGGAUGGUGGAAUUCGUGGUGUAGCGGUGAAAUGCUUAGAUAUCACGAAGAACUCCGAUUGCGAAGGCAGCUGUCUGGGGUGCUACUGACGCUGAGGCUCGAAAGUGCGGGUAUCAAAC
Molecule: ribosomal RNA, 250 nt
Filed under: uncultured prokaryote
Description: partial 16S ribosomal RNA
Rfam family: Bacterial small subunit ribosomal RNA
Source: RNAcentral